AGUUUGUGAUGUGGGCAUUUUUUUAACAUUGUUUUGAAAGGCUCCCACGCCUCGUACAGGGAUUCUCUUUCAAAUUGUUUAAAAUUGGCGAUUUCUCACCUCAGUU
This is a small nucleolar RNA of Gossypium raimondii (Peruvian cotton), 106 nucleotides long. It matches the Rfam family "Plant small nucleolar RNA R71". From Rfam's summary of the family: R71 is a member of the C/D box family of snoRNAs containing the C (UGAUGA) and D (CUGA) box motifs. Multiple nearly identical copies of this snoRNA have been identified in Arabidopsis, and it is thought to function as a 2'-O-ribose methylation guide for 18S ribosomal RNA. Lineage: Eukaryota; Viridiplantae; Streptophyta; Magnoliopsida; Malvales; Malvaceae. The record is from Rfam.